AUCUCAUUUAAAUAUCUUUAAAUUUACUCAACUUAUUUUUUUUUAAAUUUCAAUACAAUACAAUGUUUCAAAAUUUAGUAAAAUAUAAAAUUAUCCAAUAAAAUUUAACAGCUAGAAUAUAAAUGCAACUGUUCAGUAGCCAUUGAUCAACAACACCAGUUUCAGCUUCAACCAGAAACACUAUCUAUUGACUACGAGACAGCAACCAACAACGC
RNAcentral lists this long non-coding RNA (215 nucleotides) under Mytilus galloprovincialis (Mediterranean mussel). Lineage: Eukaryota; Metazoa; Mollusca; Bivalvia; Mytilida; Mytilidae. The record is from RNAcentral.